AUUGAACGCUGGCGGCAGGCUUAACACAUGCAAGUCGAGCGGGGGAAGGUAGCUUGCUACUGGACCUAGCGGCGGACGGGUGAGUAAUGCUUAGGAAUCUGCCUAUUAGUGGGGGACAACAUCUCGAAAGGGAUGCUAAUACCGCAUACGUCCUACGGGAGAAAGCAGGGGAUCUUCGGACCUUGCGCUAAUAGAUGAGCCUAAGUCGGAUUAGCAGGUUGGUGGGGUAAAGGCCUACCAAGGCGACGAUCUGUAGCGGGUCUGAGAGGAUGAUCCGCCACACUGGGACUGAGACACGGCCCAGACGCCUACGGGAGGCAGCAGUGGGGAAUAUUGGACAAUGGGGGGAACCCUGAUCCAGCCAUGCCGCGUGUGUGAAGAAGGCCUUAUGGUUGUAAAGCACUUUAAGCGAGGAGGAGGCUACUCUAGUUAAUACCUAGGGAUAGUGGACGUUACUCGCAGAAUAAGCACCGGCUAACUCUGUGCCAGCAGCCGCCGUAA
This 501-nucleotide ribosomal RNA is filed under the name uncultured bacterium. Its description in RNAcentral is "partial 16S ribosomal RNA". It matches the Rfam family "Bacterial small subunit ribosomal RNA", at positions 30 to 523 of the family's 1533-position model. The record is from RNAcentral.